This 287-nucleotide unclassified non-coding RNA is filed under the name Hevea brasiliensis (rubber tree). The record is from RNAcentral. Lineage: Eukaryota; Viridiplantae; Streptophyta; Magnoliopsida; Malpighiales; Euphorbiaceae.
AUCAGCCGCGCUGGUGCGAGCCGCUGCGGGGCCGGGAUCGCGGCUAUGAAGUCACCACCAACAAUCCACCGGGUGGCGGCGUCAUGCUGCUCGAGAUGCUCAACGUGCUGGAGAACUUCGAUCUCUCCGCGCUCGGGCACAACAGCGUCGAAUAUGUGCGGGUGGUCUGCGAGGCGAUGAAACGUGCCACCGCCGACAAGGACCGUUUNNNNNNNNNNCCGGGAUUCCUGGACAUACCUGUCGCGAAACUGACGUCGAAGGACUAUGCCGCCACGAUGGCGGCCGAG